Molecule: ribosomal RNA, 497 nt
Filed under: uncultured bacterium
Lineage: Bacteria
Description: partial 16S ribosomal RNA
Rfam family: Bacterial small subunit ribosomal RNA
Source: RNAcentral
GACGAACGCUGGCGGCGUGCCUAAUACAUGCAAGUUGAGCGCUGAAGGUUGGUACUUGUACCAACUGGAUGAGCAGCGAACGGGUGAGUAACGCGUGGGGAAUCUGCCUUUGAGCGGGGGACAACAUUUGGAAACGAAUGCUAAUACCGCAUAAAAACUUUAAACACAAGUUUUAAGUUUGAAAGAUGCAAUUGCAUCACUCAAAGAUGAUCCCGCGUUUUAUUAGCUAGUUGGUGAGGUAAAGGCUCACCAAGGCGAUGAUACAUAGCCGACCUGAGAGGGUGGUUGGCCACAGUGGGAGUGAGACACGGCCCAAAGGCCUACGGGAGGCAGCAGUAGGGAAUCUUGGGCAAUGGACGAAAGUCUGACCGAGCAACGCCGCGUGAGUGAAGAAGGUUUUCGGGUCGUAAAACUCUGUUGGUAGAGAAGAAAGUUGGUGAGAGUGGAAAGAUCAUCAAGUGACGGUAACUACCCAGAAAGGGACGGCUAACUACGUG